RNAcentral lists this ribosomal RNA (286 nucleotides) under uncultured Lactobacillus sp. RNAcentral's name for it is "partial 16S ribosomal RNA". It matches the Rfam family "Bacterial small subunit ribosomal RNA", at positions 348 to 626 of the family's 1533-position model. The record is from RNAcentral. Lineage: Bacteria; Bacillati; Bacillota; Bacilli; Lactobacillales; Lactobacillaceae.
UUAGCAGUAGGGGAUCUUCCACAAUGGACGAAAGUCUGACGGAGCAACGCCGCGUGAGUGAUGAAGGCUUUCGGGUCGUAAAACUCUGUUGUUAGGGAAGAACAAGUACAAGAGUAACUGCUUGUACCUUGACGGUACCUAACCAGAAAGCCACGGCUAACUACGUGCCAGCAGCCGCGGUAAUACGUAGGUGGCAAGCGUUAUCCGGAAUUAUUGGGCGUAAAGCGCGCGCAGGCGGUUUCUUAAGUCUGAUGUGAAAGCCCACGGCUCAACCGUGGAGGGUCAU